AAAUCACAAACAGAUAAAGGGCAAGAGAGAUGUAUGAU
RNAcentral lists this non-coding RNA (38 nucleotides) under Trypanosoma brucei brucei. The record is from RNAcentral. Lineage: Eukaryota; Euglenozoa; Kinetoplastea; Trypanosomatida; Trypanosomatidae.